Molecule: non-coding RNA, 1519 nt
Organism: Heterocephalus glaber (naked mole-rat)
Lineage: Eukaryota; Metazoa; Chordata; Mammalia; Rodentia; Bathyergidae
Source: RefSeq, a predicted model, not a curated record
CCCCUUCUUCUUCCCAAGAGUCCUAGCGCUCGGCGAACCUGCGCCAGUGCCUGAGCGCGCUUGGAGUAUUUCUGCGCAUGCGCUGCUGCUGCUUAGGUCGCGAAAGUACAGUUGGUCCACUCCGAGAGCAUUCCGCGUCGCCUCCUAGCGGAUCGGAGUUCGGAACGCUUUUGUGACCUCUUCGCUCCUUCCCAGUAUACUAAAGUACAAGGUUCCUUGCGCCUAGCGCAGUAGAAAUAACCUCUGCAAGCUUUUUGUUUAGGCAGAAAUAUGAAGCUGAGGCACACACCUAAGACGUACAGUGUUGGCAACAGACCUGUGCAGACUUAGUAAAGUUUUGUCACUCUUCUGGUUACAGUUGCUAGUUAAAAUAGUUUUGUGUUAAUUUAAAUAUGAAUUUCAGUUGAAUCCCACCCUCUACCCCCCUUUCGUUACUGGGGAUUGAACUCAAGGCUUUGGCACAGAGCUCUUUAUUAUCCGCAGCUCUUUAUUUUUUGACAGAGUCUCGAUAAAUUGCCCAAACUGGGUUUGAAUGUGUGAUCCUCCCACCUCAGCCUCACAGAGUGUUGGGAUUACAGGUGUGUCCCACCAUGCCCGUCUCCAUACAAUACUGUCAAUAUCUCAUUCUGUGAAGAAGAAAAAAAAGUCUAAAGCGUGGAAAUAGGCAAAUGAGAUUACUGGAUGUUUUUUCAGUGCUGUCCUGGGGUUGAUUUUCUGUUGACUGGUUUACAACCCAGGCCAAGAUGGAGUUAAUGAUUUAGAGGAAACAGGGCAGAGGCAGAGACUAGCUGAAGUCGUGAAAGGAAUGUGCGGUUGCAGGCAGCUGCAUUAUGUGUCCUUAUGAUUUUGGUUGAUCUGCUAAAAUGACAGUUUCAUAACAGUUCUCAGUGGCUAGAGAUGAAGAGGCUUCUCUGUAACGCUGAAAAGACGCCGCACCCGCGUACAAAUCCGCUACUACUCCACCUUGUGUUGCAGGCUCUGCGGAGGAGGAGCUCUGGUUAAUGUGUGAACUGAUUCCUUGCCUCACAGUUACGUCCACAUUGAGUAUCCAGUGCCCUGCCAAUGACUGGUCUACAGAUCUUCAUCUCCUUUUGGAAGUGCAUUGUUGUUUAUGUCUUUGCCUGGUCCUAAUGUUUUUGUUGGUUCAAAGGAGUUGUCCAAAAUGACACAAUAGUAAACAGUCGUGGUAAUCGUAUUAAUCAGAUGCAGCACUGUUUUCAUAUUGUCGCUUUCUCCCCAUGCUUAGUCCAUUGCUUCCAUCUUCACCUUCAAUGCUAACUUCUGUGUUGGAGAAGUCACACUUCGUGAUGAGCUGCUGGUAUCUGUCAGGGCUGCAUAGCUCAGGACUGCCCGGCUGCAGCCAGCUGUGCCUCUGGCGAGACUGGUGGUGUGAACCUGUGGGACAUGUGCCGCAGAGGCUGCUCGCUGUCAUCGGAGGCUCUGACAGGUUUGGGCUGGGCUUGCUAUUAUGUAUCUUUUAGUACAAUAAUUUUAUGUUUAUUAAUGCUCCUUAUAGUCU